Molecule: transfer RNA, 65 nt
Filed under: Paropaon sp. OR337
Lineage: Eukaryota; Metazoa; Arthropoda; Insecta; Orthoptera; Acrididae
Description: tRNA-Tyr
Rfam family: tRNA
About the family: Transfer RNA (tRNA) molecules are approximately 80 nucleotides in length.
Source: RNAcentral
AGUAAGAUGGCUGAAAUAUUAGGCGAUAGAUUGUAAAUCUAUUUAUGGAAAUAUUCCUCUUACUA